RNAcentral lists this ribosomal RNA (460 nucleotides) under uncultured beta proteobacterium. RNAcentral's name for it is "bacterial SSU rRNA". It matches the Rfam family "Bacterial small subunit ribosomal RNA", at positions 202 to 645 of the family's 1533-position model. Lineage: Bacteria; Pseudomonadati; Pseudomonadota; Betaproteobacteria. The record is from RNAcentral.
AAGCAGGGGAUCGUAAGGCCUUGCGCUUUUGGAGCGGCCGAUGUCUGAUUAGCUAGUUGGUGGGGUAAAAGCCUACCAAGGCAACGAUCAGUAGUUGGUCUGAGAGGACGACCAGCCACACUGGGACUGAGACACGGCCCAGACUCCUACGGGAGGCAGCAGUGGGGAAUUUUGGACAAUGGGCGAAAGCCUGAUCCAGCAAUGCCGCGUGAGUGAAGAAGGCCUUCGGGUUGUAAAGCUCUUUCAGUCGAGAAGAAAAGGUUGUGAUGAAUAAUCACAACUCAUGACGGUAUCGACAGAAGAAGCACCGGCUAACUACGUGCCAGCAGCCGCGGUAAUACGUAGGGUGCAAGCGUUAAUCGGAAUUACUGGGCGUAAAGGGUGCGCAGGCGGCUUUGUAAGUCAGAUGUGAAAUCCCCGGGCUUAACCUGGGAAUUGCGUUUGAAACUACAAGGCUAGA